This 301-nucleotide ribosomal RNA is filed under the name uncultured bacterium. RNAcentral describes it as "partial 16S ribosomal RNA". It matches the Rfam family "Bacterial small subunit ribosomal RNA", at positions 509 to 807 of the family's 1533-position model. The record is from RNAcentral.
CAGUAGCCGCGGGAAUACGAAGGGGGCUAGCGUUGCUCGGAAUUACUGGGCGUAAAGGGAGCGUAGGCGGGUCGUUUAGUCAGAGGUGAAAUCCCGGGGCUCAACCUCGGAACUGCCUUUGAUACUGGCGACCUUGAGUAUGGGAGAGGUGAGUGGAACUCCGAGUGUAGAGGUGAAAUUCGUAGAUAUUCGGAAGAACACCAGUGGCGAAAGCGACUCACUGGCCCAUUACUGACGCUGAGGCUCGAAAGCGUGGGGAGCAAACAGGAUUAGAUACCCCGGUAGUCCCUGUCUCUUAUAC